GACGAACGCUGGCGGCGUGCCUAAUACAUGCAAGUUGAGCGAUGAAGCUUGGUGCUUGCACCAAUUUGAAGAGCAGCGAACGGGUGAGUAACGCGUGGGGAAUCUGCCUUUGAGCGGGGGACAACAUUUGGAAACGAAUGCUAAUACCGCAUAACAACUUUAAACAUAAGUUUUAAGUUUGAAAGAUGCAAUUGCAUCACUCAAAGAUGAUCCCGCGUUGUCUUAGCUAGUUGGUGAGGUAAAGGCUCACCAAGGCGAUGAUACGUAGCCGACCUGAAAGGGGGAUCGGAGACAGUGGAACUGAGACACGGUCAAGACUCCUACGGGAGGCAGCAGUAGGGAAUCUUACGCAAUGGGCGAAAGCGUGACGGAGCAAAGCCGCGUGAGUGAGGAGGGUCUUCGGAUCGUAAAACUCUGUUAUUAGGGAAGAACAAAUGUGUAAGUAACUAUGCACGUCUUGACGGUACCUAAUCAGAAAGACACGGCUAACUACGUG
RNAcentral lists this ribosomal RNA (496 nucleotides) under uncultured bacterium. RNAcentral's name for it is "partial 16S ribosomal RNA". It matches the Rfam family "Bacterial small subunit ribosomal RNA", at positions 28 to 507 of the family's 1533-position model. The record is from RNAcentral.